GGUGUGUGUGGUUGUGUGUCGUGAAGAUUAGCUGUGUUGGGAGACCGGGCUUGGAAUCCCGGAAGAAAGCGCCUCCCCGAACGGUUGAAACGGGCCACCAUCAUGAACGCGUCGCGUACGCUCAUAAAUCAUAGCAGGCCAUGCAGUCUCCACGCAGACACACACAGAGUGACGGGCAAACACACAAAUGAAGUAACUGCAGCACACUGCUGCGUGUGAUAGAAAGUGUGGAGAAAUCGGAAACGAGGGUGAAACAUUUCAAUCGUGAAUUAUCGCCAUUUGGAUCGAUAUAAAAUGGGAAUGGAGGCGAUUAGUGUGUGUGUGUGUGCGUCUGUUGGGCGCCUCAAUAUGUGUCGUUAUGGGGCAGGAGAGCAUAACGAAUGCCAACAAAGCUCAGAAGCGCUCCCAAUUGUCCGGAUUUGUGAGGUGACCUAAUUUGGCGCACGCCUAGCUGUGAUUGCAUGGAAUGUUUACGUUUAGGGCAGAUUGAUAAAUGAAGGGCCCUUCACUGUGAAGAAGGCAGAGGAGUAGGAGCGCUACAUUUCAAUUGAAACGGGCGGUGACUGUCGCAACUGGAAUGUUUUUUUUUUUCUUUUUCUAUACAUCGGUGAGGUAUCGAGAUUUUGUGAUCCAAUCUGGCGGUAACGGGCUGGAACUGGAAGAUAUACGAGAUACACCUUCGUUGAGACACGUUGAAAUCACUUUCGUAGAAAUAUGUCUCUGGCGUAGAGCAUUCGCUCCGAUUGACAGUUGGAGGAUCGUGAGACGCGGCCCACAUGAUUUGGAAGUUUUACUCCUUUUCCAAACACCUCCGAAGCAUGACGCCAUCCGCACAAAGGGAGUUCCAAUACGUCAGUUGCUGUCGAUGGUGUGUGUGUACGAUCUAGUGAAGGUAUGUUUGAGCCAGAAGUGCAGGUGAUUAUGUUUUGCUCGUUUCCAUCACAACAAAUGUGAUACAAUCUUGGGGAAGAUAAGUAAUUGAUAUCCUCUAAUUGUGUGCUUUUAAUAGUUUUUUUCAUUGGACUAUUAUGCAGACCAUCGCGAAGACGUCUUUAAACACUUA
This is a long non-coding RNA of Anopheles merus, 1063 nucleotides long. RefSeq lists it as uncharacterized. The record is from RefSeq and is a predicted model, not a curated record. The transcript has 3 exons. NCBI's taxonomy places the organism in Eukaryota, Metazoa, Arthropoda, Insecta, Diptera, Culicidae.